Anas platyrhynchos (mallard) is the source of this 2851-nucleotide long non-coding RNA. RefSeq lists it as uncharacterized. Lineage: Eukaryota; Metazoa; Chordata; Aves; Anseriformes; Anatidae. The record is from RefSeq and is a predicted model, not a curated record.
CAAGGCUUUAUAACAAGCUAUCUCCACUAAUUAGCUGGGUUACCAAUUAUUUGAGCUUUGCCAGGCAUGUUGAAAACAAGGAGAAAAUAAUAAUGAUAGUACUUAGAAUGGGGUAAGACUAUAAGGGAAGUCAUUUUCCUUCCCCUCUAAUUGCUGUGAAGAUCUACAGAGGGGAAUUCAAAUUGCUGAUGCUGAAGACAGACAAAAGACAGACAAAACUGAACCUCUCAGGGAAGGGUUUGACUGGGGGAGGAAAACAGUGCUGGCAAUUGCUAGGCUCUUUUGCAUGGUUUCUUGAAGUGUUAUACAGUGAUUCAUGGUUUUUCACAAUGUUUAUGAAGAAGGACACAUUUUUUAGAUUUGUUUUCAGCCUUCCAUAAAUUCCUCCCAUUAUUAUGUCUCCCCAUUACUGGGCCAUCCAUACGUUCACUGCCUAUGAAAUCUUAUUAGGUGAUUAGUUGAGAAUGUUUUAGUGCAUUAGAAAAAAAACAAUCACCAGAGAGCUUAAUAUAAUUUGUGUAAAGGGUAGUUCUCUGUCUCCUGUCACUGGAGUGGUUAACUGGGAAUGUAUUUGGGACAGCAACAGCCCUACGAGUUCAUGCAGGAGGGACUGUGAGGCAGAAGGAAUUCAGACGAAGAUUCGUGCUGCAGCUAAAACCACCAGUCAGAGUCUGCCAAAAGGGGUGGUCCUGUCCCCUUUGUCCUUGGCCAUGUUCUUGCUGCUUCUGCUGCAUCAGUGAGACAGCAGCCAGGAGAUUUCUCUGAUGUUCCUGAACAACCAGAGGGCCCGAAGGAAGCUGCCUCCAGGACCAACACCUCUCCCCUUCAUUGGCAAUCUGUGAACGCUGAGCUUCCAAACUCACCAUGAAACACUCUUGAAGUGCACAGACUUGGAAGGAAUACAUUAGUAAUGUUACCUUAAUGUGGCCUACACACUGCAGCUGCCAAACGAGACCCACAGAACUCUUUCCUUUCUCCAUGUGCUGCUGGAGGAAAAACCAGGAAGGAUUCAUGCUCAGGAUUCAUGCCAUGUCUCCAUCCCUGGCUCUCCUCUCUGCAGCAGCCUUGGAACAAGGAUAAUCAUUAAAUCUGGGAGCUGUGCAAGAUGAUGCAUCAUUGAGGCUCCCUGCUUUCCUGUGUGCACAAAAGAAACCACAGAUUCUGCAGUUCCUUUGGGUACUAGAUGGAAUCCAAUUCAGGAAUUCAAGCACUUGUUUUUUUCUUUCCUCUCCACCUUACUUGAGCUAUUAAUUAAAAGACUGGACUUCCCACUGCUGUGAAAACCAUUCUGCAAAUUACUCUCCCCUGCAGAAAACAGCCUUUGCUCACAACAAGUGGCAGCAGCUAGGCACCUCAUUAUAUUUGCAUGUGUUUUCACUAUGGUCAGCAUAUUUCAGAAUCCCUUUUCAACAUCUUUGUUUCCCACAAAGGAGGAGGCCUGCACCCACCUCCAGAGAGAUGUAGUCCUGCCUACAGAUGUUCCUGAGCAACAUAUUUGAGAUCAGCAACACACCAUUACCAGUGGAUUCCUAAGGGCACUUUGCAGAAGCCAGGACACGUGGAAACUGUGUAGUAAAACUCGUAACAGCUUUAUGAAUAGCCUGUCUUCACCAGUUCCCUGGCCCCCCAAGGGCAGAGAUAUGCUUUUUCAUCUUUCAUCUGUCCAUCAUAUGAAGUGCUACAAGUGUUCAUAAAAAAAGGUCACACUUUUAUAUAUAUGGUUACAUAUGUGUGCAUGUAUAUGUAGUUACAUAUGGCUUGGUAUUGCAUAUACAUGUACAUGUAAAAUGAAAAUCAUGUGCAGGCAUGAUCUUUAUUCAUCACCCUACUCCAUACUUCAAAAUCCUUGAAACAGAUGUUCAGAACUCCUUACCUCCCAUCCCAUACAGUAGCAAGCUCUAGCUGAUGUUGUUGUUAUUUGAACUCCUAAUGCUUUGAGCGAGACACCACCACCUCUUCCCUCCCUCUGUGCAAUUAAGUCUUUCUCAACUACCCAAGGUUGAAGAGUUCAAAACUGGUCUCUGAUUUAUGGGUGCCAGAGCCUUGAUGUGAGGAACUAGUGAGACCCCAAGCUCCAGCAGCCACCGGUAGGAUCGGAUGGCUGGCCACUCGUGGUUCGCAGGCCACCCACGAUUCCCAACACAUCUCAAAUGAGAUGCCCCGCAUCAGUGGCAGUGUUUGAAAAGUUUGGCUCAAUUGCUUCCCUGUGUGAGACCUGACAAGCACACUGCUCAGUGCAACGGUGAGCAAACAUUACCAUCUAAUGGCUGCUGGUGUUAAUUACAACUAUAAUUUCUGUUUUAACAAUGAAGGCUGUUCCUUGUCUAAGCACUGGUACUCUGAAAACACUGUAUGACUGGAAAACAAAUGACCAUGGAAAGGUAGUAAAAGCAAUGUUUAUGAUUUUGCUGUAUCCAUCAAUCGUCUCUGGUGGGGCAAUGUAAAUGGAAAAAAAAUCCCAUUGAACUGUUUCUGGGUAACGUGACACAGUUGCUUUGUUGGCUAUAUAAACUGCAGAUACAUGAAAAAUAACAGUCAUAAAUAGUAAUGUAUGUAUUAAUAAUAGUGAAAGCCCUCUAGCAUUUUAACAGUGAAACACGAUCCCAAACUCUUUUAUUUCCUUAGAGCAGGAUGAAGUGGCUCCUGUCCCUUUCUCAUGCAAUGGCAAGGACCGCAAAACAGCCCUACAUAAUAGAAAUGGUCUUUGAGCUCUGGUCUAAGAGUACCACUACGAUGCAGAAGGCAGACACAGCCUCUCUGUAAAUGUCUUAUAUCUUUAUGUCAUUGUGUGUUUUGUUGUCCUAGGGGGCUGGGCUCUACAGAAACGUAUACACACCAUGGCUAGGAUUAA